This 76-nucleotide transfer RNA is filed under the name Nitrososphaerota archaeon. RNAcentral's name for it is "Thaumarchaeota archaeon tRNA-Thr". It matches the Rfam family "tRNA". From Rfam's summary of the family: Transfer RNA (tRNA) molecules are approximately 80 nucleotides in length. RNAcentral also lists the same sequence under 2 other names. The record is from RNAcentral. Lineage: Archaea; Thermoproteati; Nitrososphaerota.
GCCCCAGUAGCUCAGCGGUCAGAGCGACUGCCUCGUAAGCAGUAGGCCCUGGGUCCGAAUCCCAGCUGGGGCUCCA